This 509-nucleotide ribosomal RNA is filed under the name Asterionellopsis glacialis. Its description in RNAcentral is "partial Bacterial small subunit ribosomal RNA". It matches the Rfam family "Bacterial small subunit ribosomal RNA", at positions 1 to 535 of the family's 1533-position model. Lineage: Eukaryota; Bacillariophyta; Plagiogrammaphyceae; Rhaphoneidales; Asterionellopsidaceae. The record is from RNAcentral.
UUGAAGAGUUUGAUCAUGGCUCAGAUUGAACGCUGGCGGCAGGCCUAACACAUGCAAGUCGAACGGUAACAGGAAGUGCUUGCACUUCGCUGACGAGUGGCGGACGGGUGAGUAAUGCUUGGGAACUUGCCUUUGCGAGGGGGAUAACAGUUGGAAACGACUGCUAAUACCGCAUAAUGUCUACGGACCAAACGGGGCUUAGGCUUCGGCGCAAAGAGAGGCCCAAGUGAGAUUAGCUAGUUGGUAAGGUAAAGGCUUACCAAGGCAACGAUCUCUAGCUGUUCUGAGAGGAAGAUCAGCCACACUGGAACUGAGACACGGUCCAGACUCCUACGGGAGGCAGCAGUGGGGAAUAUUGCACAAUGGGCGCAAGCCUGAUGCAGCCAUGCCGCGUGAAUGAUGAAGGCCUUAGGGUUGUAAAAUUCUUUCGCCAAGGAUGAUAAUGACAGUACUUGGUAAAGAAGCCCCGGCUAACUUCGUGCCAGCAGCCGCGGUAAUACGAAGGGGGC